Molecule: RNA transcript, 1502 nt
Organism: Helianthus annuus (common sunflower)
Lineage: Eukaryota; Viridiplantae; Streptophyta; Magnoliopsida; Asterales; Asteraceae
Exons: 12
Source: RefSeq, a predicted model, not a curated record
GGGUUGUUGAAGUAGUGAAAGUGUGAAACCAAGCCGUUCGACCACAUAUUUUUCUUCGGUCGAUCAGAGAGAAAGAAGGGAUUGUCGGCUGGAGGCAGAAUAAUGGCGGUUCCGGAAGCACCUCUACGCUUUGUGGGCGUUCCUAAGAACUCCGCCGCCUUUCGCCUCAUGAAACAAAUGGGGUGGGAAGAAGGGGAAGGUCUAGGCAAGGACAAACAAGGGAUUAAAGGUUAUGUUAGGGUUACCAACAAGCAAGAUACUCUUGGUGUUGGUUUAGAGAAGCCAAACGCGUGGGCGUUUGAUACUACACAGUUCGAUAACAUUCUUAAAAAAUUGAAAGUGCAAGCAGCAGAAAUUAAAAAUGACAAAGCUACGGGAGAGGACGGUGACCAAAAAACAAAUCCGGCCAAGGACCGCAGUGAAACGGUUAUCAAGUCUACACGUCCUCAAGGAAGAUACAAGAGAAGGGAGAGAGGAAAACUUGUCGACACAUAUUCUGCUAAGGAUCUUGAAGAAAUUCUUGUCAAAAAGGUAGAUGAUAGUGCUGAGCCCGAGCCCGAGCUUGCUAAUUGUCAGUCUCGAGACUCAGAUUUGGUAGAAGCAUCUGAUAAUACUGAAGAAGUCGAAGAUGAAAAAGAAAUUUCCCGGGAGUGGUGGGGUAACAAAUUUGGAUUUGUAUCGGGUGGGUUACUUGGAGCUCAAUCCAAGAGAAAGAAGUCUCUUACAAAUCAAGGCUGUAACAAGAGGACUGCAUUUCAUGAGGAUGAUCAAGAAAAUCUUUACAAACUUGUACAAGAUAAAGCAACUUCUGGAAAACAGGGACUUGGUAUAAAGGAUCGUCCAAGAAAAGUAGCCGGGGUGCACUUUCAAGGUAAGAAAACGUCAUUCAGCGAUAGUGAGAGCGAAGAGUCUGAAUCUGAACCGGAACCGGAACCUGAACCCGAAGAUAAUAAUGGAAAAUCGAAGUUUACAUCAGAAUCAGAAAAACGUAGUGAAUCUAAGCUGAAGCUAAAGAAGCUGUGCACAAAGCUUCUUUCGCAAGAACCUGAGAGGUCAUUGAAGCUUAAACAACUUAUGGCUCUUGUUGAUGAACAUCAUUCAAUCUUUAACAACUUCUCUUCGAAAAAGCACGCUCUUGCAUUUUUUAAAAACAAGCUUGAAAGCAGUUCAAAGUUUAUCGUCGAAGGAAAGAGAGUUCGUCUCUCGUCAAAAUGAGAACAGUUCUGACAAAGUUGAGUGUAGAGAUUUGCCAAUACACGUAUUCCGGUUUUGUUACAAAUUCAGAUUUUGUAGCAGGGACUGAAGUAGCGAUACGCCAUCCAGCGUGCCAUACGUCAAACGCACUGUCUUACGCCUAGUAUACACUCAAAUUUGCUUAAAACUUGUGAUGUAUCAUGUAUGCGUAGUUGGUGAUCAAUUUUUGUUUGGAUUUAUUAUUUAGAUUUUUUUAGGGAUGUACUUAGCAAAGCUAAUAUAUAUUUACAAUGUCUACUUUAUGGUAA